GGGGAGAUGGCUCAGUUGUGGAGAGCAUUGGUUGCUCUUCCAGAGGACCUAGGUUCAAUUCCCAGCACCCCA
RNAcentral lists this transfer RNA (72 nucleotides) under Cricetulus griseus (Chinese hamster). It matches the Rfam family "tRNA". Rfam says of the family: Transfer RNA (tRNA) molecules are approximately 80 nucleotides in length. Their secondary structure includes four short double-helical elements and three loops (D, anti-codon, and T loops). The record is from Rfam by way of RNAcentral. Lineage: Eukaryota; Metazoa; Chordata; Mammalia; Rodentia; Cricetidae.